GCCUUCCUGACCAUGGCUCUGUCACUGGGAGCCUGACCUUGUACUCUCCCCUGGUGUCCCAGGAAAAAUUCACUCUGGGGCACUGAUAUAGUUUGGCUGUGUCCCCCUCUCCCCCCAGAUCUCAUCUUGAAUUCCCACAUGUUGUAGAAGGGACCCAGUGGGAGGUAAUUGAAUCAUGGGGGCAGGUCUUUCCUGUGCUGUUCUCAUGAUAGUGAAUAAGUCUCAUGAGAUCUGAUGGUUUUAAAAAGUGGAGUUUCCCUGCACAAGCUCUCUUCUCUUGUCUGCCGCCAUGUGAGACAUGCCUUUCACCUUCUGCCAUGAUUUUGAGACCUCUCCAGCCACAUGGAACUGUCAUAAUGGCUGCUGACAUUCAAUCUUUCCAUGAGGAGUCCCUUGCAGUCCCAGCACAUCUUCCUGGUGUUUUCUCAUCUGUUCUUGGUGAGAUGGUGGGGAAGGUGGGUGGAGAACCAGACAAUGUCUUCUCUUCACCUCCCUUCUGAGAUCCAAGCGUCACUUAGUGAUCACUGACAGCCAUGAGUUUUGUGCUUACUGGUUUGCAUUCUCUGAAACCCAAUCAUUCCUAUGAAUCACACAUACUGGUUUUGUACAGAAUAAAAUAAAAAACAUUUCCUC
Molecule: long non-coding RNA, 633 nt
Filed under: Homo sapiens (human)
Lineage: Eukaryota; Metazoa; Chordata; Mammalia; Primates; Hominidae
Description: HSALNT0128333
Source: RNAcentral